GGGCAGGUGUGGCCUCAGUGGUAGAACAUCUGUUUGGCAUUCAGGAGGUACCCAGGUUCAAUCCCCUGACUCACUCC
This 77-nucleotide transfer RNA is filed under the name Sphaerodactylus townsendi. Its description in RNAcentral is "tRNA-Ala". Lineage: Eukaryota; Metazoa; Chordata; Lepidosauria; Squamata; Sphaerodactylidae. The record is from RNAcentral.